Molecule: ribosomal RNA, 360 nt
Filed under: Curtobacterium sp. 1b-11 (14)
Lineage: Bacteria; Bacillati; Actinomycetota; Actinomycetes; Micrococcales; Microbacteriaceae
Description: bacterial SSU rRNA
Rfam family: Bacterial small subunit ribosomal RNA
Source: RNAcentral
AUAUGUUGCCAGCGGGUUAUGCCGGGGACUCAUAGGAGACUGCCGGGGUCAACUCGGAGGAAGGUGGGGAUGACGUCAAAUCAUCAUGCCCCUUAUGUCUUGGGCUUCACGCAUGCUACAAUGGCCGGUACAAAGGGCUGCGAUACCGUAAGGUGGAGCGAAUCCCAAAAAGCCGGUCUCAGUUCGGAUUGAGGUCUGCAACUCGACCUCAUGAAGUCGGAGUCGCUAGUAAUCGCAGAUCAGCAACGCUGCGGUGAAUACGUUCCCGGGCCUUGUACACACCGCCCGUCAAGUCAUGAAAGUCGGUAACACCCGAAGACGGUGCCUAACCCUUGUGGAAGGAGCCCUAAAAAGGUGGGU